AGUGAACGCUGGCGGUAGGCCUAACACAUGCAAGUCGAACGGCAGCACAGUAAGAGCUUGCUCUUACGGGUGGCGAGUGGCGGACGGGUGAGGAAUACAUCGGAAUCUACUUUUUCGUGGGGGAUAACGUAGGGAAACUUCCGCUAUUACCGCAUACGACCUACGGGGGAAAGCAGGGGAUCUUCGGACCUUGCGCGAUUGAAUGAGCCGAUGUCGGAUUAGCUAGUUGGCGGGGUAAAGGCCCACCAAGGCGACGAUCCGUAGCUGGUCUGAGAGGAUGAUCAGCCACACUGGAACUGAGACACGGUCCAGACUCCUACGGGAGGCAGCAGUGGGGAAUAUUGGACAAUGGGCGCAAGCCUGAUCCAGCCAUACCGCGUGGGUGAAGAAGGCCUUCGGGUUGUAAAGCCCUUUUGUUGGGAAAGAAAAGCAGCAGGUUAAUACCCCGCUGUUCUGACGGUACCCAAAGAAUAAGCACCGGCUAACUUCGUG
Molecule: ribosomal RNA, 492 nt
Filed under: uncultured bacterium
Lineage: Bacteria
Description: partial 16S ribosomal RNA
Rfam family: Bacterial small subunit ribosomal RNA
Source: RNAcentral